UCCUCGGUAGCUCAGUGGUAGAGCACUUGGCUGUUAACCAAGUAGUCGCUGGUUCGAACCCGGCCCGGGGAG
This 72-nucleotide transfer RNA is filed under the name Wolbachia pipientis. RNAcentral describes it as "tRNA-Asn". It matches the Rfam family "tRNA". Rfam says of the family: Transfer RNA (tRNA) molecules are approximately 80 nucleotides in length. Their secondary structure includes four short double-helical elements and three loops (D, anti-codon, and T loops). RNAcentral also lists the same sequence under 2 other names. The record is from RNAcentral. Lineage: Bacteria; Pseudomonadati; Pseudomonadota; Alphaproteobacteria; Rickettsiales; Anaplasmataceae.